This 893-nucleotide ribosomal RNA is filed under the name Lactobacillus sp. 86056. Its description in RNAcentral is "bacterial SSU rRNA". It matches the Rfam family "Bacterial small subunit ribosomal RNA", at positions 43 to 903 of the family's 1533-position model. The record is from RNAcentral. Lineage: Bacteria; Bacillati; Bacillota; Bacilli; Lactobacillales; Lactobacillaceae.
UGGGCCGCUAUCAUGCAGUCGACGACUCUGGUAUUGAUUGGUGCUUGCAUCAUGAUUUACAUUUGAGUGAGUGGCGAACUGGUGAGUAACACGUGGGAAACCUGCCCAGAAGCGGGGGAUAACACCUGGAAACAGAUGCUAAUACCGCAUAACAACUUGGACCGCAUGGUCCGAGCUUGAAAGAUGGCUUCGGCUAUCACUUUUGGAUGGUCCCGCGGCGUAUUAGCUAGAUGGUGGGGUAACGGCUCACCAUGGCAAUGAUACGUAGCCGACCUGAGAGGGUAAUCGGCCACAUUGGGACUGAGACACGGCCCAAACUCCUACGGGAGGCAGCAGUAGGGAAUCUUCCACAAUGGACGAAAGUCUGAUGGAGCAACGCCGCGUGAGUGAAGAAGGGUUUCGGCUCGUAAAACUCUGUUGUUAAAGAAGAACAUAUCUGAGAGUAACUGUUCAGGUAUUGACGGUAUUUAACCAGAAAGCCACGGCUAACUACGUGCCAGCAGCCGCGGUAAUACGUAGGUGGCAAGCGUUGUCCGGAUUUAUUGGGCGUAAAGCGAGCGCAGGCGGUUUUUUAAGUCUGAUGUGAAAGCCUUCGGCUCAACCGAAGAAGUGCAUCGGAAACUGGGAAACUUGAGUGCAGAAGAGGACAGUGGAACUCCAUGUGUAGCGGUGAAAUGCGUAGAUAUAUGGAAGAACACCAGUGGCGAAGGCGGCUGUCUGGUCUGUAACUGACGCUGAGGCUCGAAAGUAUGGGUAGCAAACAGGAUUAGAUACCCUGGUAGUCCAUACCGUAAACGAUGAAUGCUAAGUGUUGGAGGGUUUCCGCCCUUCAGUGCUGCAGCUAACGCAUUAAGCAUUCCGCCUGGGGAGUACGGCCGCAAGGCUGAAACUCA